Molecule: ribosomal RNA, 250 nt
Filed under: uncultured bacterium
Lineage: Bacteria
Description: partial 16S ribosomal RNA
Rfam family: Bacterial small subunit ribosomal RNA
Source: RNAcentral
UACGUAGGGAGCAAGCGUUGUCCGGAAUUAUUGGGCGUAAAGAGCUCGUAGGCGGUUCGGUAAGUCGGGUGUGAAAACUCAAGGCUCAACCUUGAGAUGCCACUCGAUACUGCUGUGACUAGAGUCCGGUAGAGGAGUGUGGAAUUCCUGGUGUAGCGGUGAAAUGCGCAGAUAUCAGGAGGAACACCAGCGGCGAAGGCGGCACUCUGGGCCGGUACUGACGCUGAGGAGCGAAAGCAUGGGGAGCAAA